This 440-nucleotide ribosomal RNA is filed under the name uncultured bacterium. RNAcentral describes it as "bacterial SSU rRNA". It matches the Rfam family "Bacterial small subunit ribosomal RNA", at positions 28 to 476 of the family's 1533-position model. The record is from RNAcentral.
GAUGAACGCUGGCGGCGUGCUUAACACAUGCAAGUCGAACGGGAUCCCAGGAGCUUGCUCCUGGGUGAGAGUGGCGAACGGGUGAGUAAUGCGUGACCGACCUGCCCCAUACACCGGAAUAGCUCCUGGGAACGGGUGGUAAUGCCGGAUGCUCCAGUUGGAUGCAUGUCCUUCUGGGAAAGAUUCAUCGGUAUGGGAUGGGGUCGCGUCCUAUCAGCUUGAUGGCGGGGUAACGGCCCACCAUGGCUUCGACGGGUAGCCGGCCUGAGAGGGCGACCGGCCACAUUGGGACUGAGAUACGGCCCAGACUCCUACGGGAGGCAGCAGUGGGGAAUAUUGCACAAUGGGCGCAAGCCUGAUGCAGCGACGCCGCGUGCGGGAUGACGGCCUUCGGGUUGUAAACCGCUUUUGACUGGGAGCAAGCCCUUCGGGGUGAGUGU